Molecule: ribosomal RNA, 465 nt
Filed under: Vreelandella stevensii
Lineage: Bacteria; Pseudomonadati; Pseudomonadota; Gammaproteobacteria; Oceanospirillales; Halomonadaceae
Description: partial 16S ribosomal RNA
Rfam family: Bacterial small subunit ribosomal RNA
Source: RNAcentral
CCUACGGGCGGCAGCAGUGGGGAAUAUUGGACAAUGGGGGGAACCCUGAUCCAGCCAUGCCGCGUGUGUGAAGAAGGCCCUCGGGUUGUAAAGCACUUUCAGUGAGGAAGAACGCCUGGUGGUUAAUACCCAUCAGGAAAGACAUCACUCACAGAAGAAGCACCGGCUAACUCCGUGCCAGCAGCCGCGGUAAUACGGAGGGUGCGAGCGUUAAUCGGAAUUACUGGGCGUAAAGCGCGCGUAGGUGGCUUGAUAAGCCGGUUGUGAAAGCCCCGGGCUCAACCUGGGAUCGGCAUCCGGAACUGUCAAGCUAGAGUGCAGGAGAGGAAGGUAGAAUUCCCGGUGUAGCGGUGAAAUGCGUAGAGAUCGGGAGGAAUACCAGUGGCGAAGGCGGCCUUCUGGACUGACACUGACACUGAGGUGCGAAAGCGUGGGUAGCAAACAGGAUUAGAUACCCCUGUAGUC